This 64-nucleotide transfer RNA is filed under the name Bubas bison. Its description in RNAcentral is "tRNA-Cys". The record is from RNAcentral. Lineage: Eukaryota; Metazoa; Arthropoda; Insecta; Coleoptera; Scarabaeidae.
AGUCUUAUAGUCAAAUAAUGAUAUUAAAUUGCAAGUUUAAAGUUGAAGAGAUUUUCUAAGGCUU